GGAAAUGUGAGAGGUGUAAUUUUCAGAAAAAUCAUGCUUUGCGUUUUCCAGAAACGUCUAACCUACCAUCGCCCGUGUGUCACGCUGUAUACCAAUGAAAACCUUCUCUUGAAAUUUCCAUUUAUUGGUCAAAUUGAUUUUCUUAAUUCACUGUAAACAAAACAAGUAGAACUUGUACAUCAAAAGAUUAUAUUGGUGGCUGCGGAUAAUGUGUCUUGCAAAACAGAAAGAGUGGACAGAACUUGAAAAAUUCUCGAAAAUAAAAAAAUCUCCUAUAGGAUAUGCCCCCUUUGUUGAUGUUUGUCUUCAGAAUGAUAACCGCCAAGAAGCUCUUAAAUAUCUACCCAAAGUUACUGAAGAUAUUAAAGUGAAAUAUUGUAUAAAAACGGGG
Leptinotarsa decemlineata (Colorado potato beetle) is the source of this 391-nucleotide long non-coding RNA. NCBI's taxonomy places the organism in Eukaryota, Metazoa, Arthropoda, Insecta, Coleoptera, Chrysomelidae. The record is from RefSeq and is a predicted model, not a curated record.